This 76-nucleotide transfer RNA is filed under the name Alphaproteobacteria bacterium. RNAcentral's name for it is "tRNA-Arg". It matches the Rfam family "tRNA". From Rfam's summary of the family: Transfer RNA (tRNA) molecules are approximately 80 nucleotides in length. Their secondary structure includes four short double-helical elements and three loops (D, anti-codon, and T loops). Further hydrogen bonds mediate the characteristic L-shaped molecular structure. tRNAs have two regions of fundamental functional importance: the anti-codon, which is responsible for specific mRNA codon recognition, and the 3' end, to which the tRNAs corresponding amino acid is attached (by aminoacyl-tRNA synthetases). tRNAs cope with the degeneracy of the genetic code in two manners: having more than one tRNA (with a specific anti-codon) for a particular amino acid; and 'wobble' base-pairing, i.e. permitting non-standard base-pairing at the 3rd anti-codon position. The record is from RNAcentral. Lineage: Bacteria; Pseudomonadati; Pseudomonadota; Alphaproteobacteria. RNAcentral also lists the same sequence under 2 other names.
GCGCUCGUAGCUCAGUGGAUAGAGCACUUGCCUCCGGAGCAAGGGGUCGGAGGUUCGAAUCCUCUCGAGCGCGCCA